This 755-nucleotide ribosomal RNA is filed under the name uncultured marine group I thaumarchaeote. RNAcentral's name for it is "bacterial SSU rRNA". It matches the Rfam family "Archaeal small subunit ribosomal RNA", at positions 102 to 858 of the family's 1478-position model. The record is from RNAcentral. Lineage: Archaea; Thermoproteati; Nitrososphaerota.
AGUCAACCUAACCUAUGGACGGGAAUAACCUCGGGAAACUGAGAAUAAUGCCCGAUAGAACAUUAUGCCUGGAAUGGUUUAUGUUCCAAAUGAUUUAUCGCCGUAGGAUGGGACUGCGGCCUAUCAGUUUGUUGGUGAGGUAAUGGCCCACCAAGACUAUUACAGGUACGGGCUCUGAGAGGAGUAGCCCGGAGAUGGGUACUGAGACACGGACCCAGGCCCUAUGGGGCGCAGCAGGCGAGAAAACUUUGCAAUGUGCGAAAGCACGACAAGGUUAAUCCGAGUGGUUUCUGCUAAAGGAACCUUUUGUCAGUCCUAGAAACACUGAUGAAUAAGGGGUGGGCAAGUUCUGGUGUCAGCCGCCGCGGUAAAACCAGCACCUCAAGUGGUCAGGAUGAUUAUUGGGCCUAAAGCAUCCGUAGCCGGCUCUGUAAGUUUUCGGUUAAAUCUGUACGCUCAACGUACAGGCUGCCGGGAAUACUGCAGAGCUAGGGAGUGGGAGAGGUAGACGGUACUCGGUAGGAAGGGGUAAAAUCCUUUGAUCUAUUGAUGACCACCUGUGGCGAAGGCGGUCUACCAGAACACGUCCGACGGUGAGGGAUGAAAGCUGGGGGAGCAAACCGGAUUAGAUACCCGGGUAGUCCCAGCUGUAAACUAUGCAAACUCAGUGAUGCAUUGGCUUGUGGCCAAUGCAGUGCUGCAGGGAAGCCGUUAAGUUUGCCGCCUGGGAAGUACGUACGCAAGUAUGAAACUUA